ACAACAAAUUUGUGAGAUUGUGAACAUUUGGUAUGCAAACAUUUGAUUUUCUAGUAACAUGUCUGAUAUAUUCCACUGAAGAUGCCCUUUACAAAUCAAGCAACUAACAACUAAAAAUUGCAGAUAACAAUAGAAGCUAUCAAGAUUUCAUCUAUUUGUUUAAAAGAAUGGAUCUGUGAAAAAUUUUAUACAAUAUGGGGGAAAAAUAUCCAAGGGAAACUCAAAACUUCACAAGAAAUAAUAAACAAAACCAGAGACACCUGUAGAUCUGCCAUUUUUCUGCUUAACUAUAUUUCUUCAUCGAGGCGCCAAAGAAACAGAGAAAUCAAUUGGCAUACCAAUCUUCUCAGCCCAGUUCUUGGAUUCCAAAUACAAUUUUGACACUCUAACAGCCACCUGCUCCAUAUCUGGCCGCUUCUCUGGAUCAUCCUCCACACAAUCCAACCCCACCACCACCAUCUUCUCUGCCACAUCCACUGGAUACGAAUCCUUCAACCUCCUAUCAACCCAGCUCCUCACCCCACCGCCACCGCUACCCACUGCCUCUCUUGCCCUCUCUAUCACACCAACUCUGCUAAACUCUCCUCUCCCUUCAUCAAACACAUAAUUCAACGCCUCCUCUCCUGACACCAGCUCCAAAACCACCACCCCAAAAGCAUAAACAUCGCAUUUCUGCGUCACAACCCCACUUGCUUGAAACUCCGGCGACAUGUAUCCUCUUGUCCCUUCAAUUUUCUUGCCUUUACUAUUACUCCUGCCAAAACUUCUCGCCUCAGAUCUUUCACUUCCCUCUAUUUCCCCGCAUAGCUCCGCCGCCCCGAAAUGACAAAUCUUGGCAUCCAACAAAUCUUCAGCUACUAAAAUGCUCGAACUCUUUAUAUGGUUAUGCACAAAGCCUGAAUUUGAAUCUGCACAAUGAUGAAUGUAAUCGAUCCCAUGAGCGAUAUCUGUAGCAAUAUGCAUCCGGGAGAGCCAAUUUGAAAGUACCGUGUAAUUUGGAUUCUGUGGGUUUCUAAGACAAGUAGCUAAACUGGUUCCAUGAAAGUAUUCGUACACAAGAUAUAUAUAAUUCCCUGAAGUGGCCGCGCCCAGAAGCUUAAUCAAGCUACUAUGAUGACUCCUGCAGAUGGUGGAUAACCGCUGCUGGAGAUCCGGUAAUUUUAAGGGGUCACGGUGGCGGAACUUGCGCUGGACAAUAAUAACCUCUUUCCGGCGAAUCUGGCAGCGCCAAGAGGUGGAAGAGGAAGAGGAAGAGAAGGGUUUUGAUAGGAAGUUGUUGGUGGCUCUGCAUAUUUCAACAAAGUCAUAAAUUUUUGUAUUCUCUGGUAAAGAAGCUUCUUUAAGGAUUUUGAGAAAGCGUUUGCUUGAGAUGGAAGAAGAAGAUGAUUUUGAAGUGUCCUUAUUAUGGUUAAAGAAGCCUGAAGAAGAGUAAUUAAUGGAUGAUGAUAAUGGGUUAUUGCCGGAUGAUGAUGAUAAUGACUUUGAUGAAGAUUUUGAAGGGUGGGAUUUUGGGGUAAGAGAUUGGGUUACGUCGAUGCUUUUUCUUGAUUUGCACAUGAGGAUAAUUGGAACAAACGGAAACAGUCUUGGGUUCUUAUUGGUGGUUGGUGGUGGUGGGUUGGCAUAGAAACAACAGUGUCUAGAGAACAAAUUAACGUGUAAAAGUGGGUAUUUUCAACAGGGGAUUGUUUUUGGAGAUUUGCAGUGUUGUCCUUGUCAGAGACAUAUCAAUUCAAAAUCAAAGAUGAGGAAGCGAAGGAAGAAGAUGAAGAAUAAUAAUAAUAAGAAAGAAGACAA
This 1797-nucleotide unclassified non-coding RNA is filed under the name Hevea brasiliensis (rubber tree). The record is from RNAcentral. Lineage: Eukaryota; Viridiplantae; Streptophyta; Magnoliopsida; Malpighiales; Euphorbiaceae.